AGUGAACGCUGGCGGUAGGCCUAACACAUGCAAGUCGAACGGCAGCACAGUAAGAGCUUGCUCUUACGGGUGGCGAGUGGCGGACGGGUGAGGAAUACAUCGGAAUCUACUUUUUCGUGGGGGAUAACGUAGGGAAACUUACGCUAAUACCCCAUACGACCUACGGGUGAAAGCAGGGGAUCUUCGGACUUUGCGCGAUUGAUUGAGCCGAUGUCGGAUUAGCUAGUUGGCGGGGUAAAGGCCCACCAAGGCGACGAUCCGUAGCUGGUCUGAGAGGAUGAUCAGCCACACUGGAACUGAGACACGGUCCAGACUCCUACGGGAGGCAGCAGUGGGGAAUAUUGGACAAUGGGCGCAAGCCUGAUCCAGCCAUACCGCGUGGGUGAAGAAGGCCUUCGGGUUGUAAAGCCCUUUUGUUGGGAAAGAAAAGCAGCAGGUUAAUACCCCGCUGUUCUGACGGUACCCAAAGAAUAAGCACCGGCUAACUUCGUG
This 492-nucleotide ribosomal RNA is filed under the name uncultured bacterium. RNAcentral describes it as "partial 16S ribosomal RNA". It matches the Rfam family "Bacterial small subunit ribosomal RNA", at positions 29 to 507 of the family's 1533-position model. The record is from RNAcentral.